AAUAAAAAAUUAAAAAAAAAUUAAAUAUAAAAAGAGUAAUAAAUGAGUUAAAUGGAGUAGUAAGUAUAUUAUUUUUCAUGAUAAAUAUGAAGGCCAGUUCUUCUAUAUACCACCGGCUGAUGCAACCUUUGGUAACCGGAUGACGUGGCAUGUCGAUGUGUUAAAUAAAUAAAUAAAAAGAGAAAAGUAUACGAGAAACGGGAGGGAAGAAUUCAUUUCAAUGCAGCAAUAGAAAACGGGAAGCUGCUUUUCCUCACUGCGUCGUCGUCGUCUUUGGGUCUCCUGUGUGUGAAUCAUAGCUCUGUUUCCUUCCUCACUGCGUCGUCUCCGUGUGUGAAUCAUAGGGUACUAGUUUGGCCAGUUUUACGCUUUUUUUUUCUUUUUGUGGUCCAUCUCUGUUCGACCAGUUUGACAGAGAAGAAGGUAGAUCUCGUCGUGAGCGUGAAGAACUGGUAGAUCGAUCUUGUCGUUUUUGUAGCUUCGUGUUGUCUCUGUGGCUAGCUUCAGGGGAGGUUUAUCGUCUUCAGGAAGUUAUGGAUGGUCAAAUAUCAACCCAGUUUUUUAUUGCUAAUGUGCUUGCAUCUGCUGAAGGGGCUUCAUGUCUGAGAACAAUGCAUUUAUGGUGUUCUUUACUUCAAAGCUGCCAUUUUUUUUUUUUUUGGAAAUAAUGCUCCACUGGGUCUGUGAAGAAAAACUCGAUGUCGAUUUCGGGUCUGGAAGAAGGAGAGAUCGCCGCCAUUGUCGUCGUCUUCGUGUCUGGAAGAGAAAAACCUACUCGAUCUCAGUCUGGUUUCUUUAUGGUUUCUGCAAACUCAACCUUAUCCUUCUCAUUUUUUUUUGUUGGUUUUUUUUGCACAGUGCAUCCCAUCAAAACAGAACAAAAAUUUAGAAAAAUCAUGGAACAUUCUUUUUCCUUUUUUUGGGUAUUUUUGGUUAUGGGACUUUGAAAAGGACUGUCUAGUUUGAAGCAUGAUGGUAAUUUAGAUUUUGAUUUGUUGUGUGAAGAUUUCAUUAAGAUGGGUAUAUGAGCAAGGGGUUAGUGUUGCGAAAAGUUUCAACAAAUAGAGGAUGAAAGAAAACUUAGACAUAUUUGACUAGAAACUGAGACCGGAUGAGUUGCAGAAGAUAAGUGGAAUUCCACAGCGCAGAGGAGGUAUUGCAAGUGAAUUAAUCUCUGAUGAAGGCCCUUACAAGUCUCUUUCGGAGCUUUGGGGUCUGAAAGCAAGACUUGGGAGAGGCCUAGAAGCAAGAAAUCUUCUUAUUCAUUUUAUAAAUGUUAUCGACUAAAUCUUCUGUUUGAUGGUUUACCAAUUGUAUUCUAUUUCAGAAUAUCUUAUAUUUAAGUACGAAUUGUAUCUCCUUUAUUAUACUGGCUUUGUUAUAAGAUAUAGAACUAGUAAAAUCAAUUAGAAAAUACAUCAACAUGACUAUAUGGGAUGCUUGAAUUUUUCACAAUGAA
This is a long non-coding RNA of Carya illinoinensis, 1459 nucleotides long. RefSeq lists it as uncharacterized. NCBI's taxonomy places the organism in Eukaryota, Viridiplantae, Streptophyta, Magnoliopsida, Fagales, Juglandaceae. The transcript has 2 exons. The record is from RefSeq and is a predicted model, not a curated record.